Molecule: ribosomal RNA, 406 nt
Filed under: uncultured bacterium
Lineage: Bacteria
Description: partial 16S ribosomal RNA
Rfam family: Bacterial small subunit ribosomal RNA
Source: RNAcentral
AUUGAACGCUGGCGGCAGGCCUAACACAUGCAAGUCGAACGAGUGGCGGACGGGUGAGUAAUGUCUGGGAAAAUGCCUGAUGGAGGGGGAUAACUACUGGAAAAGGUAGCUAAUACCGCAUACAAUCAGAUGUGCCCAGAUGGGAUUAGAUUGUUGGUGGGGUAACGGCUCACCAAGGCGACGAUCCCUAGCUGGUCUGAGCGGAUGACCAUCCACACUGGAACUGAGACACGGUCCAGACCCCUACUGUAGGCAGCAGUGGGGAAUAUUGCACAAUGUGCGCAAGCCUUAUGCAGCCAUGCCGCGUGUAUUAAGAAGGCCUUCGGGUUGUAAAGUACUUUCAGCGGGGAGGCGUUACCCGCAGAAGAAGCACCGGCUAACUCCGUGCCAGCAGCCGCGGUAAUUC